This is a long non-coding RNA of Mirounga angustirostris (Northern elephant seal), 15191 nucleotides long. RefSeq lists it as uncharacterized. The transcript has 2 exons. The record is from RefSeq and is a predicted model, not a curated record. NCBI's taxonomy places the organism in Eukaryota, Metazoa, Chordata, Mammalia, Carnivora, Phocidae.
UAUAUAGCAGGACUUUUUUUUUUUUUUUUUUUUUAAGUAUGACAUCAGGCAACGAGUAAUCUAAGUCCAUAUUUAGUUUGGAUCUUUGUGCAAAAUUCAGUGUAUUCCUACUAACAAGUGGAUUGUUCCAAAAUCUAAAAAAUUAAUAGUAAAGAAAAUAUUGUUACACUGCUCUAUUUUACAAUUAUUUCAGUAAACUCUGUCAUGAUUUAGUUAUAAUUUCUUUAUCUUUUAUAACUUUAGAGCUUUGGUUUUCAAUAUUUUUCAGAAAUCACUGUUAAAUAACUAAAAGUUUUAGAGUGCUCUUCUGUAGAGAGGUUAAGACUAAUUUACAUAAUAUAAUUUUAUAACAUCUAGGAAAAUAUUUUUAAAUCUAUUAAUAGUUCAGUGGUAUAGGAGUGUUCUUUUAAGAUGUAAUAAAUUCUACAGUUUUGAUAUAUAUAUGGUUACAGUAUUGACAUAGAUUAAAUGCAUUUGAAUAUGUUUAUUUUCAAAUUCUUAAAACAAACCUGUUUCUAAAUUUCAUCCUUUAAUGAUAGUAUUUCUUUCUCCACAUGGAGUGGUUAAGAGCUUUGGAGUGAGACAGACUUCGUUUGAAUCCUAGCCUUCCCACUUCCAAAUGUUGUUCAGCCUCUUUUCCCAUGUCUUUAAAAUAAGGGUUUCUGAUAAUACCUCACUCUUAGAUUUGUCGUCAGGUUUAAAUAUAAAAUGUUUAGCAUUACCUAAUGUGAGUUAAGUGCCCGGGAAAUUUUGGCUGUUGCCAUCAUCAUCCUCACUGCCAUCGUCAUUAUUCUGCAUUUAUUGAACAUGGAGUUGCUGAUGUUGGAGUAAAGGGAGAAAAUACAGAAUUGUUUAUUUUGAGGUUCCUUAUGUCUAGAGGACUUUGCUGAUUACCCCAUGUGCUUUUUUAGAUUGUACUUGUUAGUGUAAUUUUACUAGUCUGAAAGAAGUAUGACUCAUAUAAAUUAUACCAAAGAGUGAGCUGACGUGCUAAGUUGUGGGGAUCUGUUUCCUCACUUAUUACUGGGUUACUUUUAAUGUGCUGCCAAAAUCUAGUGAGUGGAUUUAGAGCAAGACACGUACUUACCUUAAACAUAAAAAGCUAUAAAAUAUAACUCAAAAAGUACAGACUUCGACAGAACUACAGUAGUAAAAGUACUAAGUUAAAUUUAGUCUGAAAGCUUUUGCUGUUUUAGAAAAGAAGUUAAAAACAUAAUGUAAACUAUAAAAACUAAACAACUUUGAAUUCCAGAGGGAAGAUUUCAUCAGUGACUAAAUUUUGUGUCAAGUGUUCUAAAUUUCCAGAAAAGAAAAUCAGUUCCAAUUUACAUGCAAAAAUGUAGUUUCAAGCCAAUUAUUAUUUUUAUCUCCAGCCCCAUUUUUUUAGCACAGGAAAGCUAAUAAAUUCUAUGAAACAAUAUAAGUUUCAUAUAUAAAACAUAAUGAGAUGAAAAUAUUUUAAAUCUUAAAUUUUAUGAUUGAUAUUUAAGAAAUGAAUUUGUUGUUAAGUAUCAGAAGAGAUUUUACAGAAGGUUAAUGGAAGGAACAGUGUCAACUGAGCUAUACACAUACCCAGGCAUUUUGUAUUUUAGCAUCUGUUAGGUCUUUUGAUAGAUACCUUCUUUUCUAUGAAACAUACACUUUCUACCCACCUGCUUGGUGUUCUUCGUUGUUUCCAUAGCAUUUGAUCUGUUGUGCAAUUGCAUUUAUCACACAGUGCAUAGUUCCUACUUCCCAUACCUUUUUUUGUGUGUCCAGAGAGCCUUGUGUAGGGCAGGGACCCUCUCACUCAUCUUAAUCACAGACCUCAACCACGUGCAACAAAACGUUGAAUGAGAGAUGUGACGUGCAUAGAGAGAAAAACCCCUGUCUCACAGAACAAGCUCCGUGUACGCCUCCUAAGUCAGACAACAUUUUCAAAUCUCCAUUUACUUGCAUCCCUGGAGCUACCGAUAAUCCUGAUUGGAAAAUGCACAAACGCAGAAAGUGAUUAGAAAGAAUUUUAUGGUAAGAUUUUAGGGUCUUCAACUAUUUAGGGUCUUCAACUAUAUAAUAAGAAUCACAUAUAUCAAGUACCUUUUUUCUCUUUUAGAAGUCUUGACUUUAUACUAAUUGUUUUGGUACUUACCUUUGUAUCUCUGGAUCUGGUACAUAGUCUGGCACAUAGUGUAGGGAUUCAUUAGUUCAAUGAAUAAAGCCUGUGCAUAAAUUUUCCGUACUUGGGUUCCAGUGAUAUUUAUAUCUUCUAAAAAUAUUUUUUCAUGACUCAUUCUGAAGCUUCUUAAAAGCAUGAGUACUUCCUCUUCAGUGUAUUUUAAAACAACUGAAUUUAGACUGUUUGAACAUGGUUCUUUAAAAAGAGUUGCAAAUAAAGAAUUUUUCCCUUUGAGAUAAAAGCUGGGAGAUCACAUAAGUAGUGAAUGAGAUCAGUAAUGCUUCAUAACAUUUAUUAGGUCCAGUUUAAAAUUUUUUUAAAUAAAGUAGUAUUUAUGUAGUCUUCGUCAGAUAGAAAAUACGUAAAUUGUGCUGUUCUUUACAUUAUAAGACCUAUUAUUUGAUCAUUCUUUGAUAUUUCUAUAUUUGACCAAGUAAUUUUGGCCUUGUUUUUGUUACUCAAAAAGUAGUCUAGAGGUUUGUUUUUCUUAUUUAUUUUUGAGUUUGGGUUUAUUUCUUUUGGGGGAUUCUCUCACUUUAUGUUCCAUGGCCUGCAACAAACAGGAGCAUAAUGUAAAUGCUGAGGUCUUUUUCUGUAAAACUGAUAUGUUUGUAUGGAUAUGUAUUUCAUGUGAUGAUCUCUUUGUGCUGAUUAUGAUUAAGUAAAAAAGCAUGUUUAAAGGUCACAAUUUUCAAAGCGUUCUGUAAUUUAACAUUUUAAAAUGCUUUUGGAAAGCAGUGCAAUUCUUGAUGUGACACACCGGAGGUGAUGGUAGUUGCAACUGUCCUCCUUCGUGUGUAUAUUCAUUUGUCAGAAAUUUACUGGGCGUAUAGUAUGUGCCUGGCAUUAUGCCAGGUGCUGUGAAGACAGUGGUGAGCAAAAAUAGAUGUGCUUCUGUUCUUAAGGAGGUAUACAUUCUAAUGGGGGAGGCAUUCAUCAAAGAAUCACUUAUAAAGCUAUAAAAUUAUAACUAUGAUGAGGGCUGACAAAGUACAGGUCUAUAAAACUCUUAAGAAUGUAUCUUAGUUUUGGAAGAUUAGGAAUGUUUCCUUGAAGAACUGAUGUCUAUAAUGAGCAUCAAGGCAUUAGUAAGAUGAAAUUAUGGGAAGAGGGAAAAAAGCCUUCCCUAGACAAGAAAUAGGAGCCAAGGACUAUGGUGGGAACAAACUGGAAGAGAAGAGCGGGAGCACUGAGGAUUCGAGGGGCAAGGUGUAAGAUGAGGGUACAGAAGCAAAAACAGGUCUUUGACUAGAAAGACUCUGUUCAAAGAGUAAUGACAGCAAAAAUCGGUUGUGGGAAUAGUUUUGGGGGAAAUAGGAAGGAAAGAAACAGGAUUAAAUUUGCAUUUUGGAGAUGACUAUGGCUGAUUGUGGAAAACAGACAUCCUGAAGGAUAACCUAGGGAGUGGGUAAAGAAGACUUUUGUAGUAUUCUAGGUAAGCAGGGGAUGUGGUUUGGCCAGGGUAAUGAUGGUAGACAUUAAUGGAAGUACAUAAAUUUGAGAGAUCCAUUCCUGUGGUAAACUGACAGGACUUGGUGACAGAUUGGAUUGGAUAGAUGAGAGUUAGAGAAAGCUAAUGAGAUGAGUGUUUUUAAUGAUUAAUCGUAGAGUCUCAGAAAGAGCUCAGCAGCUUUGCUCUUGUUGAAUGUACCCACUCAUGAUUAAAGCAAUUUUUCAUUGGGCUCGUUGACCCAGUCAAGAGUAAAGACUGAGACACUGUAGUUUGGGGUAUCUCAACAAAAUGGCCCAGCCACAUAACCCCACAGUGCGGUUUACAAGCCCCACCCACAUGGGCAAUGCUUGGAAUGCUUACAUGAAAAACAGAAAUCAAAGCAAUAGGGGGAGUACGUGGAUGGGUUAGCCUGGUGAUGGGUAUUAAAGAGGGCACGUACUGCAUGGAGCACUGGGUGAACAAUGAAUCAUGGAACACUACAUCAAAAACUAAUGAUGUAAUGUAUGGUAAUAUAACAUAAUAAAAAAACUUAAUAGGGGGAAAGGAACUCAAUAAAAUAAAUUAAAAAAAAAAAAAGAAAGAAUGGAGAUAGUAUAGGACAGUAUAGGGCUCAGAAGAAAACUUCAAAAAACCAAAAACUGUAAGAGAAGUUAUUAUAUCCAUGAAAUUCUGGAGGCUAUGAGGAAAGAACAUUUGACAGACAAACUAGAAACUGAAAAGUUACUGAAAGAAUUGAAAGACAAAUUGGAGAAAUCUCUCCCCUAGAUCGUUGGCAGUAGCUUCCUAACUGAGGACUAUGCUGUUGCCCUUUGAGGAGCUAUAGUAUCUUCUCAAUUCAGCAACUAAAAUGGCCCUGUUAAAAUGUAAGUCACUUCAUGUUACUCUUAUGCUCGAAACCCUACAUUGGUUCCCCUUCAUUAAGCAUAAAAGCCAAAGUCCUUAGAAUAACUUAGUAGGCCCUACCUCACCUCAUCUGAUUGCCUUUCUAAUCACAUUUCCUACUACUCCCCUUCCUGUCUUGCUUGGCCACGCUGAUCUUUCCUCUAAGUCAGGAAUGAUGCAAGCCCUUUGCACGUGCUGUUCCCUUCGCCUAAAAUGGUCCUGCCUCAGGUGUCUAUAUACAGGAUUCUUUUCUUCCUUCAGGUCUGUAUUCAAAAGUCACCUCCUUAGUAAACCUUCCCUGGUUACCUUUUCUAAGAGGUCAACCCCUUACUCCCCCCACCUUUUCAUUAACAUUCUCACAGAUAUAGGUAUAUUUUAAUUGAGGUGAAAUUCACAUAACAAAAUUAACCAUUUUCAAGUGAACAAUUUAGUGGCAUUCAGUACAUUCAGGGUGUUGUGCGACCACCACCUGUAACUAGUUCCAAAACAUUUCCAUCACUCCAAAGUAAAACCCCAUAUCCAUUAAGCAUUCCUUCUCUCCAGAACCCCAGUAACCACCAAUUUGCUUUCAAUCUCUAUGAAUUUACCUAUCGUGGAUAUUUCCUAUAAAAGGAAUCCUACAACAUGUGACCUUUUGUUGGGGAUUCUUCCAUUGAGUGUAAUGUUUUUGAGGUCCGUCCUCUUUGCAGCACGUUAUUAUCACUACUUCAGUCCCUUUUGUGGCUGAACGAUACUCUGGUGUAUGCACAGAACACAAUUCAGUUAUCUGCUCAGUGGACAUUUGGUCUGCUUCCACCUUUGGCUAGCGUGAAUAAUGCGAAUGUUUCUCUACAAGCACUUGUUUGAGUCCCUGUUUUCAAUUCUUUUUGGUAAAUAUUUAGAACUGGAAUUGCUGGGUCAUAUGACAAUUCUAUGUUUAGCUUUUUGGGAAACUGUUUCCACAGCAGCUACACCAUUUUACAUUCACAUCAGCAAUAUACAAGGGUUCCAACACUUGUUAUUUUCCUCUUUCCUUUUUAUUAUUAUUAUAACCAUCCUAGUGAGUGUUAAGUGGUCAUUGUAAUUUUGAUUUGCAUUUCCCUAAUUAGUGACUAAUGAUGUUCAUCAUUUAUUUAAUAUACUUUUUGGCCAUUUGUAUAUAUUCUUUGGAGAAAUGUUUAUUCAAGUCCUUUGCCUAUUUUUGAAUUGGGUUGUUGGUUUUUCUGUUAUUGAAUUUUAAGAGUUUUUAAUAUAUUCUGGUUUUAGGUGCAUACCAUAUAUUUGUUUUAUAUAUCUGUCUUUCUCUGAAGGCAGGAUUUUUGUCUCAUCUCCUGCUGUUUUCCACUGCCUAGAACAGUGCCAGACACAGUGUUGGUGCUCAGUAAAUUUUUGUUGAACAAAUGAAUUCCAGAAAACACUGAAGAUUUUUCUCAGCAAAAACUGUGAUAUAACCAUGUUGCUGCUGGUUCAAUAUAAAAAUAGCUGGAACUCACCUAUGUAACAUCUAGUUUCAUCUUCGGAAGAUCGGUGACUAAUUUCCCUGGUAAUCCAUUUCAUACUGUCUUUUGAAGUUGGAGGGAUGAGUUUUACAUCUCUUUUUGUUCUCUUUUAUGGUUAUAAAAAGGACUGUGUGUGUGUGCAGAGUAUCACCUUUGACCUUUGCUGUGAUAAAGCAGUUUUCCUUUUAGGUAAGAACACAUAAGAUGAAAACACAUGACUGUUGAAACUCAGAAUAUAUAAAGAAACUGAACUGAAUGCGAAGGAGGAACAAAACAUGUAACUGUUCCUGCAUGAGCUGACUACUCUUAUGGUGGUAUCUGUUACUGGGAGUCUGUUUAGAAUUUUUUCUCCAGGGCAAGCUCCUUUUGUGUGUUCAUCCUUGGAUGUAACGUUAGGAAGACUACUGUGAUUAAGUGUUAGGUUUCUUUUUUUAUCUGUUUAAAAACUGGACAGCCCUACUUGACCAUUAAUACAUUUCUCUACAUGUCAUAAACACAAUUUUAAGAAAAAGUGAAACAAUGCUUUAGAGACUUUGUUAUAAAGAAAAUUCAGGCUCUGUGUGUCUUUCCUUGUUGGGUCAAAGUCGUGGAACGUGGAAGGCAGGUUAAAUUCACAGGUGGGCAUUCUGUAACAUGUAGAAUGUUGCAGUUUGCUAUAUUAAUGUAGUUAGUCACCCCAUCCAUUUAUCUUAAGUAGAUUUGUGAGUCUGUGCUUAUGUUUCAAUGUCAUGCCUUCUCUACUAUAGAAAAGAAAUGGAUUUGAGACCUAAAGUAUUUAUUUUUAUAGUUAAAGUCAUAACUUGUCAUGUGUGCUUCUAACACCUAUCCUCUAACGUAAGAAUAGCAUCUGGUAUUUGAACGACUUGGAAAGUUUGGGUAGAAGUCUACAUAAAUUAACAAUUUUCAUUUAUUUAAAUUAUUGAAAAACUGUGAAUUUUUAACCACAGACUGCUAACUGCUUAGCACACUUUGGAGCUAACCCUCAUCAGCUAUCUGUAGGGUUAUGCCAAGGAUUUGAGCCGUCAUAAAUUUUAUUUUUAACUGUUUUUAUCAGAGAUGUUUCAAAAUAUAUUAUAAAUAUUCUUGCCUCCUUAAAGUGACAAAUUGCUCUUACCUUCUCUUUCAUACUACUCUGAAUGCCCUUAGGCAGCCGUUUCUGUGUCUGGUUUUUAUUUUUAGGAUUUUGCUUGUUAAUCAUGUCAGUCAUGUCAGCCUGCUGACUGAAGGCCAUCCCUCUUUCCCUUUCAAUUUGUUUCUAAUAUUUUUUUGUGACAGUAGUCAUAUAAUUAUCCAAACAAGGUAAAAUAUCAUUGAUAAAAAGGCCUACAGUAGGUGUUCUGUCAUGAGUUUUAAUUAGAAUCGGUGUUGAUAGGUUGACAUCUCUAGGUGUCUGUCUAUAAUUGAUGGAAAUAAUUGCAGUAGAUACACUGGCUAGCAGAAUAGAGCAAAAGGUCUUAAUGUAUAUAAUGUAUGAUAGUGUUAGCAAGUUUGUGAUUUUAUUUCUCUGUGUUUUUAUAUAUGUCACCCUCUGCCCAGAAUGUGACCAAAAUCCUGCUCAUUAUUCAUGGUCCAGCCUUGAUGUCUUUUGUGUUUUGACUCCUGCUUCUCUUACUCCCUUGUUGCCCCUAAAAUUUCUUCCAGCUUUUUACCUCCUUGUGAUCACUGAUGUGAACUGCGCUUUACCUGUUUUACCACAGGACCCAGUAUAGCUACCAUUAGGCAUUGUACUAAGUCCUCUUGAAGUGCAAAGAUGAAUGAUGCGGUGUAGUAAUUUUCUGUUUCCGUUUACUGAGCGGCGCCUGUGUCAGGCAUUAUGCUAACCAUCUUGCAUGCAUUCCUCAUUUAGUCCUCAGGGCACCCCUGUGAGGUAAGUACCGUUUCUCAUCUACAUUUUCUAGCCUGGGGCCAGUGAAAAAUAACCUCUCCAGAGUUAUAUACUAGUGAGCGCCGUAGCCUUUCACUUUUUCUGUCCCUUAGGAUAACAAAAAACAAAUAAUUACACAAGGGUGGAAUAGAGACUGGAAGAGGGCAGAGGUGAGUGCACAGGAUAUGAUACUUGAAUUAAAGGACAUGAUAAGUUUUUGACUUAAUAUGAAGUAAGGGCAAUAUUCUAGGCUUGGAGAAAAGAUAAAGCGAAAGGACGAGAUGGGGGAUGUGACAGUCCAUGCUGUAUUUGGGGAAUAGUAAUUGGUUUGGUAUGGCUGAACCAUACUGGUUGUGCUAGAAGACUAAGAAGGAAGCAAAGGUUGGGAUCAGAUAUGGGACCAGCUGGAAUAAUCCUUUAUUCCCAGACCAUCUUCACCCUACUGUGUCUGCAUGCUUAGCUUGAUAUGGAAGGCUUAAUGUGAAUUUCCAAGGCAUGAAUGUAAAGCAUGUACAUGAAAGUAGAAUAACCUUCGUAACGAACAAGUAGAACUUUUCCGUAAAGCUCUGAUAAAACUUAAGAGUAUUAGAAAUUUGAAUAUUGUGACUAUUUUUCAUAGUCAAACCCUGUUUCAAAUAAUAUAAAGGGAAGGAUUUGUGGGCGAGGGAAGGGUGUAUGGUCAGGGUUGUCCCUUACUUUGCAUUGAUAACUAAUGCAAGCCUGCCAAGCUUAAAUUACAUAGUGUUAUAUGGACUACAGUGUAAUCUUCGUAGGCAUUCAUUUUCAUAUGAAACGUAGAAAGUCUAUAUAUGUGGAGAUUCCCCUUUAUGCAGCUUACAGUAUUACAAUCAAUGUCAGAGGGUAUACAUGAAGGGAAAGACAAGAGGAAGAGGUAGGCCAACUAUGAACAGGAAGAGCAAAUGUACAUGUGGCGCAAGCAAAAUAAAGCCCCAGCCAGAAUAUGAGAUUUUAAUUCCUUUUGCCAGUUUCUUGAAGUAACAACCCUGAAAUUCCAGUGAUUUAUUCCAUAUUCAAGAAGGAGGCGGGCACCUGGGUGGCUCAGUUGGUUAAGCGACUGCCUUCGGCUCAGGUCAUGAUCCUGGAGUGCCUGGAUCGAGUCCCGCAUCGGGCUCCCUGCUCGGCAGGGAGUCUGCUUCUCCCUCUGACCCUCCCCCCUCUCAUGUGCUCUCUCUCUCUCUCUCUCUCUCAUUCUUGCUCUCUCAAAUAAAUAAAUAAAAUAUUAAAAAAAAAAAAAAAAAAAGAAGGCGGCAAUGAGAGCAGUCCAUCCCAGGCAGGAGGGAUAUUAGACCACUAGAAUUAUUUAGAUUUCCCUGCAUGUGUUGGUGAUUAUGAAAGCAUUUCAAUAAGGUGAGUUUUGUUAUAUUUAAAUCCUCUACAGACAGUGCACCCCAUAUUUGCCUAUACUGGGUACACUGCUCCCACCAUACCCCUUCUCCCCAAACACACACCAGAGCUUAUUUCUCUCUUAGUUUACAUGGUGGCUGCAGGUGUGUUCCAUGUGCCUUCUUCAUUCUAAGAUCUGGACUGAAGGUGCAGCCUGUCAGAAAUGUGCAAUUCUCCUGGUAGAGGGAAAAGAGAAAGACACUUGGCAAAGCCACAGGUGGGCACUUCAAGCUUCUAGGAGCUAGCAGAAUGUCACUUUUGCUUAUAUUGCUCUGGCCAAAAGAAGUCACCUGGCCAAACCUAUGUCAGUGAGGGUAGGAAGUAGACCCCUCCCAGAGAGGUACUUCACAGCCCAUAGCCACAGGCCUUGAUAAAUAAUCCUCUUACAAGGCUGGGAGAUGCAAGAAAUUGAGAACAACAAUACCACCUAGCACCAUAAGUUACUCUGUGUCCAGGUGUUUUAACUGAAUUUAAAACGAUUCAAAUGAUAGAGUCUUUACUUAGAAAUAAGGAGGAAUUUUCUGAUUUUUUAUCCAAGUGAUCAUUGAAUAUUAACUUAAACCAUUUAAAGAAGUCGGAAAAGAGGUUUUCUUGAAUUAUGUAGGUAUUCAUGUGCGGAGAGAGGAAUGGCUUAGGUUAGCUGUUCUCUUCAUGAAAUUCAGUAGUUGAAAGGCUAACAGCUUCUUCACCUGCUUCUUCACAUAAGCAAGAGAACACAGAAAAUGAUUAUAGAUAACCCAGCAGAGUCAUUACUCAAAGCGUUAGGCCUUAGGGAUGAAUUCUUUGGCAGAAACCAGUUGAGAAAGGCUAGGAUUAUUAAGGUGAGUUGUAUAGUUACGACAAUAGGGAGAAAAAGAAGCCCGUUCAUUAGUAUUAAUAAUAGUAAUGAUUCUAAUCAUGUCCAUUGGAGAUUUCCUCCUACUGCCGUAUUUCUGCUUGUACAUUUAGAGUGGUUUUUUUUUGGAGAAAGAAUCUUGAAGGGCUUUUCUUUAUGUUCCUUCCCUGACUUCUCUGCUAAUGCAACACAGAUCAGCACUACACAGCAACGGGCUGUUGUGGAGAGAGCCAGGGGCUUUUGCCCAUUUUGGGAGAAGUAAUGGAAGAAUAAGGAAAAAGUCCACUGUCCUAGCUACUUUCAGUUGACGUGGCACUACCUGAAUUGUUUCUGACAUUUGCACUGAAGAGUAUGAUGUACUUGAGAGCAUUUGGUAAUUGAUUUAAAAUUGGUUUCGUAGUGAUUCCCAAAAUAUUUCCAGAAAUGUAGUUAGUGAGUGUGAGUCAAUAUGAAAUAUAAAGUGACUUUAAAGCGAAACAUUACUUAAAGCUUAAAGGGAAAUUAGGUACCAGUUAACUUUUUUCUUUUGAAGAGCUCUUUGUGGCACUAUGAAAUGUCUGCGAGCUAAAAUGUUAUAUGUGUGUGAUCAUUCCUGAAGUUAGGUAAAACUCUCACAGGUUCUUUGAUUACUUAGGAGAUUUAUCUUGAUAAUGAUGAAAGGUAUAAUGAAUAAACUUUAAAUAAGACCUUUUUUCAGUCAUGAGCUACUUAUACCUAGCCAACGAACUGAACACAGGCCUGCCUUAUAUUUCAGUAGGUGUUUAGAAGGAUAGCUAAUGUUACAACAUUUUAAAAGGUUUAUGGUGAACAGCGAAUAAUUAGAGGAAUAGUGCAGACAGAACUACAUGAAAAAGAGAUACUUGUUUCAUGACUAUAGGAUAUUAGAUAGUCCCAUUACAGCUUGGCUUUCUUUUUCCCCUUCUCUUCUAUAGCACUUUGUCAGUUAAGGAAAGUUGGUUGGAGCUAGAUAAUUUUAAAAAGCUAUAUUGUUUAGCAAUCCCUGUUGGCCAGUAAAUUGGCUAAAUUGAAAUUGUUUGUUCUGACAUUCCUCUGAUAAAAGUAUCUGAUGAUAUUUGACCAAGUAGAGAACUACUUUUAGAGUAAAAAUAAUGUUGAUGGUAAAUCAGAGUUUAGAUAACUAAAACACUAAUAACUAUUAGGUUUAGUAUCUUUUCCCAGUGGAGGUACCUAAAAGAGUUUCAGAUGCAAUACCCAUGGAAAUUUUGUUCUGCUUAAUAAAGCUAGGAUAAAGAAAAGAAAAUGCUUACAGCUAGCCUUGUUGACUUGGAUAACUUGGAAUUACAUCAUUAGAAACUCUGUUUAUAACUCAGUGGUUUUCAGAGGGCAGGGGGUUGAUGUAUGUUUGGAUUUUAUUUUAGGAGGUAAUUUUCUCAAUACUGUUCAUCAACAUAAGCAUAUAGUAGCAUAUUUUUCUCUUUUCCAUUAGAUUGUGACCAUAAACAUACAACCUAGGUCUUUACCAUUUAACAGGCUUGCCAGCCAGUAUUCAGAACAUUGUGGGUGUGUGCGUAGUUGUAUGCAAAAAAAUGUAUUAAAUAUAUAAAAGCUAUUGCUAUAUGAAGUCCUAGAAAUGGAAACCUGAAAGGUAAAGUUCUCGCAUUAUUCCUCACACUACAACUGUUACUGAGAGUUCUCUUUAACUUCAUCCUUUAUGGUCAGCGACAAAAAUAGAGCAGUUGUAUCCCUCACUAAAAUAUUUUGUCUUAAGAUUAUAAAGGACACUUUCUCAGUUGAAUGAAUUCUUUACUUCCCAUUCAAACGUGCCAUGCAAGUAUGAAAUACAUUUGACAUUUAAUAUAUUACCAGAUUCACCACAUGGAUCAUUCUGUUCAAGAUCCUUAAACCAGGAACCUUGUUCAGAAGUCUUUAAGUUAAAUAAAUUGGCCAAAAUUAGUGUUGGUAUUUGUCAUUUUAAAUCAAAUUGGAAAGUUAAAGUGUUCAACAUGGAACACUUUAAUGGGAAUAGGUAGUUUUAUAACUUCCCCAGAUUUCAUCCAUAAACAUUUAAACAUUACAUAAACUUAAACAACCUUUAACAAAACAUCAUUUUCUAUGAUAAUCUAAAAGCGUUGUAAACAGUCAAAAUAGGCAAGCCAGUAAUCAGUUGGGAAGACUAUACUGGCUUUGAUUUGUGGAUGAAAACUUUUGGAAUGUUUUCAUUGGAAUUUAAUAUUGGGGGGUGCUUUUCCUUUUCUUUUGUCCCUCUAGCAUAAACACAUCCUAAAAUGAGUGGUAUGAUUAAAAACAGUUAAUUUCUAAGGAGUUUAGCCAGUUAGCUAUUAGUAUAUCAUUGAGACAAAAGGAGCAAAACAAGAUUUAAAAAAAGAUCAUGACGUAAUUUACUUUAUUAGUAAUCACCAUUACAGUUGCUGGGUUCAUUAUGUGGAACCUGACCAGUGCCAUUGGGUUUUAUUUUGGGAGGAGAAAAGGAAUUUCUCUUGAGGUAGUUCACAUCUGGGUUGUUUGCUCACAUCCAGGGUUUGGAGCUACUUAUUUUACACUUCUGAACUUCAACCACAGUUCCUUUCUGCAGUCCUCCAUUCUGACAUCUUUAAAGUAAUCUGUCCUCCGUUUCUGUGUCUCACCUCGUAGGUUCUCCAGCCCUGGCCUCCUCCAGUGCUCAGGUCCUGCUCCCACUGGCCUAUGAGCAUCUUGCAGUUGGCAGGCAUGGAGUGUUCGUAGUGUGCUCAGCAUUAGGAGAACUCCAUGUGCUCUAUUUGGAUACAUAACCGUCACCUCCUAAUCCCUGGUGUUCACAAUCAGACUCAUUCUUUCAUCAAGGCUGAUUUCCCUUCCUCACUGCGGCUUUUCUCACAGUUCUAGUCCCCCACCCACAGCUCUGCUAAUUCCUUCCAGCUAGGAUUCCCUACCCUCUUUUGAGCUGAGAGCAAAGUAUCUUCUUCGUAAAACUUGUUAAGGGACACCUUUGUAUUCCCAGAUGUGUCAGAAAGAAGGAUGUUGAAUAUAAGUGCCAGUGCACUUGGGGAAAUAAUAUAUUCUCUACAGCGUGGGGCAGCAGACUGGCCCACAGGCCAGACGAAGCCACCAGCUAGUUUUGUAAAAUAAUUUACUGGAACACAUCCAUGCUUAUUUAUGUAUUAUUGUAUUGUCUUGCUGCUGAGAUCAUAUGGCCCUAUUUACUCUCUGGCCCAUUACAGAAAAAGUACGCCAGCCCCCAAAUGUUCUAAAUGAACAUUUGUUAAACCAGAGUACACUGGGAGUUGUGCCCAAGCUUCAAAUGAUCUUCUAGAUCAGGCCAGCAUAUAUAGCCUGUUCAAACAAGAAUAAUACAUUUUCUAAAGCCUAAGUUUUUUUUUAUGUUCAUAACCAGAGGUAAGCGAUAUGCAGUGAACAUUUCAUUAAAUCUGUUUUAAUUCUUCUCUACGUUAGCAUAUUUUUUUAUUUAUUGCACUUAGAGCUUAGAGAUAAGGCAUCAGGUAGUUCACUUUCAGUUCUUUCACGCACCUGCAUUUUCUGACAUAUUUAAUGCCAGAGAAUUUGAUGUAAGCCUUUUUCUGUGGCUAACACUGGACUCUUCCUCGUUAGCUCAACAGUAAUUUCCCAAAAUUUCAUUUUGUAAGAAUAUUAAAGUAAUACUUCAGCUGUAUUCUUUGCCCCCUCUUCCCCUGAAAAGAUUUUCUUUUGUGACCGAGAAAAACAGUAUUUCCUUUCCCUUUAUUUAGAUAAUUCAAAGUCCUGUUUUAACACCCAUUUUAAGCUUUUCCUCAUCACUUACUAAUAACAAAGGUUGAAAUGCAGCAGAUGGUUAAUAGAAAGAAUGUAUCCUCAUCUUGGGCCAGUAUAAGUUUACCCUUGGGUAAAAUCUCAUCUGCAGCUCUACCUUCUCCUCAUCCAGAAUUUUAGUGACAAAUCCCCAAAUUCCAACAGCCAUGCUAAAGGGAAGAAUCGAAAAGAAGUGGGGUUGGAAAUAGUUAAGAAAACUAAAGCUUACAGUGAACUACAUGGAGCAACUUUUGUAAUUACAGUUGGAAGUGAUAAAAGUAGCUAGGGGAUCAUAAUAAUAGCCCCAGUGUUAGUAAUUGCUCCCUAAAUCAGAGAGCUGACAACAUGGCAAUCCUAGCGUCAAUACGAAGUUAAUUAUAGGGCUAAGGCCGUACUGGUGAUGUAUUAUAAAAAGGAAAGAAUGUUUAAGAAAUACUAUUUUAAAUAGGCUAAAUAAACAUAACCCAAGAGUCUGGCAUUAUCAACCCAAAUUACAAAUGCAUUCUUCCUUUGACCCAGCAGUCCUACUCUGGUGCUCGAUCCUACAGAUAAAACUGUGCAUGUAUGAAAAUUACAUGUUCAGGUUUAUUUGGUGCGGCUGUGUUUAUCACAGCGAAAGAUCAGACAUUGUCCAAGUAUCCAGCAAUGAAGGACUGGGUGAUAAAAUCAGAAAGGGUUUGAAAGGCCAGAUGAAAACAUGCCACUUGACAUGCAGUUAUCUGCAAAGUAAUAUUGAAAGUGCAGGGAAAGGAGACCCUAAAAGUUGCUAUCAAGGGAUAGUAAAUGGGAAAGAAUUGUACAUUCCCAAAUUUUACUGUGUUAUAAAAUAGCACUUUUUAACUUUAUUAUGUGAAAUAUGUGUAAGGGCUUGCAUCUGUUGUUUUCCCGUUUCCAUUUGACUUCUAUUUCCAUACAAACUGAAGCACCUCGUCUCAUCGUAAGAACUACACUAAUUGAUUCUUACACUUUGUUCCUUCAUCUUCAAGAUAAAGAGGGGGGCGGUGAUUAGGCCAAAAGUUACUAUAAAAAUUUAUUUCCACAGAGGAAUAGCAUUUCAAAUUGUAUUUAACAGUUUUAUCCUAUAACUUGUUAAAGAGGAUUCAAGAAGGUAAAAGGGGAUAGUUAGAAACUUGUUCUCUAAUGAGGUUUGUAUGAGUGAACACAAUUUUAGACAAAAGCUCAGGCCAACGCUACGAAUAGAGGAAAACAACUGUAGCUCAGAGUCUAGAUUUCUAUCAGUCAGAUAGAAUUUCGUAACAGUUUAAAUAUGUGGAGCAAAGGUUUGUGAAGAGUCUAAGAUAACAUUGAAUUCUGUGAUUUUUUUUGAUAAAUUGUAAUAUUGCUUACUAUGCAAAGAAAUUAGUCGUGAUAGAGAA